CCACGCUGUACGGGGCCGGGGCCCGCCGCAUCCCGGCGGCGGCCGGGUGUGCCGCGCCCGGGCCGGGUCACUCCGGCAGCGGGGUCC
Molecule: transfer RNA, 87 nt
Filed under: Streptomyces sp. ADI98-10
Lineage: Bacteria; Bacillati; Actinomycetota; Actinomycetes; Kitasatosporales; Streptomycetaceae
Description: tRNA-Arg
Source: RNAcentral